GGGGAUGUAGCUCAGUGGUAGAGCAUAUGCUUCGCAUGUAUCAUGCCCUGGGUUCAAUUCCUGCCAUCUCCA
Molecule: non-coding RNA, 72 nt
Organism: Xenopus laevis (African clawed frog)
Lineage: Eukaryota; Metazoa; Chordata; Amphibia; Anura; Pipidae
Source: Rfam